GAUGAGUUUUGCUAGAGUUAUUAGCAAAAAGUCGAUCGACAAAACCAGACGUGAUUGUGGCAAGUCUUAUAUAUGUAGAUAUAGCCUACACAAAACUUACAUAAUCCCUCGUGGCGAAGUUUUCUUGCAAGCCAUAAAUUCAAAGGAAUCUGUGUUGAUCUGUGCUAGUGCCUAGUGAAAACAAUAAUCAACCAAGUACAGAAGUCAGGAGCCCUAUCUUUCUUAGCAGCCUAAGUGCGCAUAAGUGCAUAUACGGGGUGCUCUACGAGAGGCGUAUCACCGAAGUGAUCCCCCAAUCUACAAGGGGUAGAAUUCGAUUCCCCCCUCUUCUGCACCGAAACGCCGAGCCCCGAAAACCUCUGACUUGGGUCAACAUUAGUGAGGCGUAGCAACCCUUAGGAAGCUCAGCGCGUAAGGCGGCGCCUCGGAACCUUUCACCAGCGCCACUGAGACCACCAGUUUGUCGCGCACUUUAGUGCUUAUGUAAGCGGCAGAUCGACAUCAAGCCGGAUGUUCCACAUUUUAGCCCAGUGUCCAGAGCUAGAACAUUGGGCGUGAUUUUGACGGACCUGACUAUAGAGGAGCCACCGCCAACAGCAAGACAGAUGUCCGGAGUUAUGCUGUGUUAAUUUGCACAUUUUCUGGGACUAAGUUCAAUAUGCCAUUUUAAGGCCAAUUCUCUGGCGGUUAAGUAUAUAUAUAUUCAAGCAUCGGGAAUCAUGAGUGUUUGUAGAAAAGAGUGGAUACCAGCACCUACGUCAUCCUUGAGCUCAACGAUUACGAAAGGAGUAAGGGUGUUAAAAUACCAAAACCAAAAGAAAACUGUGAGUUUGUAAACUUAAAACCAUAUAUGCACAGAGUAUAACCGUAACCUGCGUGUUACUAAAUAUUUAAUCAUAACCGUAAUGGGUUGAUACCUCUCGCCGCCCUUUAUUCUAUUAACCAAAUCUGAUUCUUAGUCCGUAUACUUACUGCCGCCACUAUAUUCAUAUAUAAAUUAUUGAAGUCUUAAAUUCUUAUAAGCUAAAAUAAGUAU
This is a long non-coding RNA of Drosophila guanche, 1036 nucleotides long. RefSeq lists it as uncharacterized. The transcript has 3 exons. The record is from RefSeq and is a predicted model, not a curated record. Lineage: Eukaryota; Metazoa; Arthropoda; Insecta; Diptera; Drosophilidae.